RNAcentral lists this ribosomal RNA (207 nucleotides) under Triticum aestivum (bread wheat). RNAcentral describes it as "partial small subunit ribosomal RNA". Lineage: Eukaryota; Viridiplantae; Streptophyta; Magnoliopsida; Poales; Poaceae. The record is from RNAcentral.
AUGCAAGCCAUGGAUGCGAGCCAAAACGCCAUCCGCGGCGGCAUCCCAGCGCAGGUGGCGAAUGUAACGAACCUGCGGCAGUUCAACGUGAGCUACAACAAGCUGUGCGGCCAGGUUCCGGCCGCCUUGGCGAGGUUGGAUGUCUACAACUUCCAGCACAACAAGUGCCUCUGCGGCGCCCCACUCCCAAAUCCAUGCAAGAAAUAA